RNAcentral lists this small RNA (29 nucleotides) under Bombyx mori (domestic silkworm). RNAcentral's name for it is "ovarian small RNA-11008". The record is from RNAcentral. Lineage: Eukaryota; Metazoa; Arthropoda; Insecta; Lepidoptera; Bombycidae.
ACACCAUGAAACCAGGCGGUCAAUGUCGU